RNAcentral lists this ribosomal RNA (497 nucleotides) under uncultured bacterium. Its description in RNAcentral is "partial 16S ribosomal RNA". It matches the Rfam family "Bacterial small subunit ribosomal RNA", at positions 28 to 507 of the family's 1533-position model. The record is from RNAcentral.
GAUGAACGCUGGCGGCGUGCCUAAUACAUGCAAGUCGAGCGAACAGACGAGGAGCUUGCUCCUCUGACGUUAGCGGCGGACGGGUGAGUAACACGUGGAUAACCUACCUAUAAGACUGGGAUAACUUCGGGAAACCGGAGCUAAUACCGGAUAAUAUAUUGAACCGCAUGGUUCAAUAGUGAAAGACGGUUUUGCUGUCACUUAUAGAUGGAUCCGCGCCGCAUUAGCUAGUUGGUAAGGUAACGGCUUACCAAGGCAACGAUGCGUAGCCGACCUGAGAGGGUGAGCGGCCGCACGGGGAGUGGGGCAGGGUCCAGGCGGCUGGGGGAGGCAGCAGUGGGGAGUGUGCCGCAAGGGGCGAGGGGCUGGGGGGGGGAGGGGGCGUGGGUGAGGAGGGGGGGCGGAGCGUAAAACUCUGUUAUUAGGGAAGAACAAAUGUGUAAGUAACUAUGCACGUCUUGAUGGUACCUAAUCAGAAAGCCACGGCUAACUACGUG